Molecule: ribosomal RNA, 294 nt
Filed under: uncultured bacterium
Lineage: Bacteria
Description: partial 16S ribosomal RNA
Rfam family: Bacterial small subunit ribosomal RNA
Source: RNAcentral
AUUGAACGCUGGCGGCAUGCCUUACACAUGCAAGUCGAACGGCAGCACGGGAGCAAUCCUGGUGGCGAGUGGCGAACGGGUGAGUAAUAUAUCGGAACGUGCCCGGUCGUGGGGAGUAACGUAGCGAAAGCUACGCUAAUACCGCAUACGAUCUACGGAUGAAANCGGGGGAUCGGCAAGACCUCGCGCGAUUGGAGCGGCCGAUAUCAGAUUAGGUAGUUGGUGAGGUAAAGGCUCACCAAGCCGACGAUCUGUAGCUGGUCUGAGAGGACGACCAGCCACACUGGGACUGAG